AUGGAAGAUUUACAAGAUUGCAACUCCAAAAGCCUUGUUGCUGUUCCUGGUUCUCUGGUUCUGCACCUCUUCAGGCUGUUAGGUCAGCAGGAUAAUUCCUGGCAGAAGUACGCCUUGGCUUACUUUCUUCUGGUCAGGAAUGAGUACUUCCCGAGGGAGCCAAGGAAACACUCAGCUGUGAAUGUGCAACUUGUUCCCUGCUGUGACAGUUCAGAUUUGGGCAGUAAUGAACUGGAAGUGGAGAAGCAGAAUGCUGUUGUCAAGAGCCAAUCAGGAGGUGAUUCCAGUUCCAAUGGAUCAAAUGAUUGUUUCCUUCCAGGCCUUCAUGAUGAUCUGGCUCAAGACUGCCUUGCCUGGACAAGCAGAUCAGACUAUCCCUCACUCUCUUGUCUGAACAAGAAAUUCAAUACAUUGGUUAACGGUGGAUAUCUGUACAAGCUGCGGAGGAAAUAUGGCAUUGUUGAGCAUUGGGUGUAUCUGGCCUGUAGCGCUAUGCCCUGGGAAGCAUUCGAUCCGUCGCGAAACCGAUGGAUGAGGCUCCCAAGAAUGCCAUGUGAUGACUGCUUCUCCUGUGCGGACAAGGAGUCACUUGCUGUUGGGACACAGCUGCUUGUCUUUGGCCGAGAAUAUACAGGCCUUGCUAUUUGGAUGUACAAUUUACUGACACGCCAUUGGUCUCGCUGCACUCCGAUGAAUUUUCCUCGCUGUCUGUUUGCCUCAGGAAGUUCUGGUGAGAUUGCCAUUGUUGCUGGUGGGUGUGAUAGGAACGGGCAGGUGCUGAGAUCUGCGGAGCUGUACAAUUCAGAGGCUGGCCAGUGGGAGACCUUGCCAGACAUGAACUUGCCCAGGAGACUCUCCUCAGGUUUCUUCAUGGAUGGCAAGUUCUAUGUCAUCGGGGGUGUGACGAGUGAGAGGCAUUCUCUGACUUGUGGAGAGGAAUACGAUCUCGACACCAGGACAUGGAGAAGAAUACAGGACAUGUACCCCGGAGGAACCAGCGCCUCCCAGUCGCCUCCGCUCAUCGCCGUUGUAAAUAACCAGCUCUACGCGGCUGACCAGUCCACAAACGUGGUGAAGAAGUACGACAAGGCAAGCAACACAUGGAACAUAGUGAAGCCCUUGCCCGUCAGAGCGGACUCUUCCAACGGCUGGGGCCUGGCUUUCAAGGGAUGCGGCGAUAGACUGCUGGUCAUCGGCGGCCACAGAGGACCUCGCGGCGAGGUGAUACUGCUGCAUUCCUGGUGCCCGGAAGAUGGGAACGGCGCCGCCUCCGACUCCGACUGGGAGGUGCUCUCGGUGAAGGAGCGCGCCGGCGUCUUCGUCUACAACUGUGCAAUAACGGGGUGCUGA
RNAcentral lists this ribosomal RNA (1350 nucleotides) under Triticum aestivum (bread wheat). RNAcentral describes it as "partial small subunit ribosomal RNA". The record is from RNAcentral. Lineage: Eukaryota; Viridiplantae; Streptophyta; Magnoliopsida; Poales; Poaceae.